UACGUAGGUGGCAAGCGUUAUCCGGAUUUACUGGGUGUAAAGGGCGUGUAGGCGGGACUGCAAGUCAGAUGUGGAACCCAUGGGCUCAACCCAUGGCCUGCAUUUGAAACUGUAGUUCUUGAGUGAUGGAGAGGCAGGCGGAAUUCCGUGUGUAGCGGUGAAAUGCGUAGAUAUACGGAGGAACACCAGUGGCGAAGGCGGCCUGCUGGACAUUAACUGACGCUGAGGCGCGAAAGCGUGGGGAGCAAACAGG
RNAcentral lists this ribosomal RNA (253 nucleotides) under uncultured bacterium. RNAcentral describes it as "partial 16S ribosomal RNA". It matches the Rfam family "Bacterial small subunit ribosomal RNA", at positions 524 to 776 of the family's 1533-position model. The record is from RNAcentral.